AGGCCAGUAGCAAAGUGGUCAACUGCGUGAGAUUUAAGGCGCUUAUGUUAAUUUACCUUUUCCUCGUCCUUCGGGUUCGUGGGUUCGAACCCCACCUGGCCUA
RNAcentral lists this transfer RNA (103 nucleotides) under Ustilago trichophora. It matches the Rfam family "tRNA". Rfam says of the family: Transfer RNA (tRNA) molecules are approximately 80 nucleotides in length. Their secondary structure includes four short double-helical elements and three loops (D, anti-codon, and T loops). Further hydrogen bonds mediate the characteristic L-shaped molecular structure. tRNAs have two regions of fundamental functional importance: the anti-codon, which is responsible for specific mRNA codon recognition, and the 3' end, to which the tRNAs corresponding amino acid is attached (by aminoacyl-tRNA synthetases). tRNAs cope with the degeneracy of the genetic code in two manners: having more than one tRNA (with a specific anti-codon) for a particular amino acid; and 'wobble' base-pairing, i.e. permitting non-standard base-pairing at the 3rd anti-codon position. Lineage: Eukaryota; Fungi; Basidiomycota; Ustilaginomycetes; Ustilaginales; Ustilaginaceae. The record is from Rfam by way of RNAcentral.